This 67-nucleotide transfer RNA is filed under the name Gekko monarchus. RNAcentral describes it as "tRNA-Trp". The record is from RNAcentral. Lineage: Eukaryota; Metazoa; Chordata; Lepidosauria; Squamata; Gekkonidae.
AAAUUUAGGUUAAUGAUAAACCAAGGACCUUCAAAGCCCUGAAUAGGUAAGCACAUCCUAAUUUCUG